CCUACGGGGUGCAGCAGUGAGGAAUAUUGGUCAAUGGUCGGGAGACUGAACCAGCCAAGCCGCGUGAGGGAUGAAGGUACAGAGUAUUGUAAACUUCUUUUGUAAGGGAACAAAGUGAGGGACGUGUGCCCGGAUGAGUGUACUUGAAGAAAAAGCAUCGGCUAACUCCGUGCCAGCAGCCGCGGUAAUACGGAGGGUGCGAGCGUUAAUCGGAAUUACUGGGCGUAAAGGGCUCGUAGGCGGUAUGUCAAGUCAGGUGUGAAAGCGUGGCGCUCAACGGGGGAACUGCCUUUGAAACUGGCAGACUUGAGUGUGUUAGAGGAUAGAGGAAUUCCUGGUGUAGGAGUGAAAUCCGUAGAUAUCUGGAAGAACAUCAGUGGCGAAGGCGACUUUCUGGCACAUAACUGACGCUGAGGAGCGAAAGCGUGGGUAGCAAACAGGAUUAGAUACCCCAGUAGUC
Molecule: ribosomal RNA, 460 nt
Filed under: uncultured bacterium
Lineage: Bacteria
Description: partial 16S ribosomal RNA
Rfam family: Bacterial small subunit ribosomal RNA
Source: RNAcentral